RNAcentral lists this ribosomal RNA (497 nucleotides) under uncultured bacterium. RNAcentral describes it as "partial 16S ribosomal RNA". It matches the Rfam family "Bacterial small subunit ribosomal RNA", at positions 28 to 507 of the family's 1533-position model. The record is from RNAcentral.
GAUGAACGCUGGCGGCGUGCCUAAUACAUGCAAGUCGAGCGAACGGACGAGAAGCUUGCUUCUCUGAUGUUAGCGGCGGACGGGUGAGUAACACGUGGAUAACCUACCUAUAAGACUGGGAUAACUUCGGGAAACCGUAGCUAAUCCCGGAUAAUAUUUUGAACCGCAUGGUUCAAAAGUGAAAGACGGUCUUGCUGUCACUUAUAGAUGGAUCCGCGCUGCAUUAGCUAGUUGGUAAGGUAACGGCUUACCAAGGCAACGAGGCAUAGCCGACCUGAGAGGGUGAUCGGCCACACUGGAACGGGGACACGGACCAGACUCCUACGGGAGGCAGCAGUAGGGAAUCUUCCGCAAUGGGCGAAAGCCUGACGGAGCAACGCCGCGUGAGUGAUGAAGGUCUUCGGAUCGUAAAACUCUGUUAUUAGGGAAGAACAUAUGUGUAAGUAACUGUGCACAUCUUGACGGUACCUAAUCAGAAAGCCACGGCUAACUACGUG